GAUAAAUAAGCUUCCCUAUAAACUCUGAGAGAGAGAGAGAGAGAGAGAGAGAGAGAGAGGGAGGGAUGCCUGAAGGGGUGACAGUGGGCAGUGAGCUUAAACAGACCAUAUAUAAGGUAGCCUGCCAGUGCUCCUCACACUUUAGAGACAUCACAGCAGUGUUUUGUCACUUCCAGUGUUGAAUUGAACUGGUUUUCUACUCUAACUUCCAACACCAAGUGUAUUAAGUUGGUUAAGAGGGCAUUGGCGCAUGCACGGAGGCCGCGCGCUUGUACAGAGGCCCAAAGGGGCCGGAAAUGUUCAGUUUUACCCGGCCGUGGUGGUGAUGAAGAAGGCUGGCGGGGGGAGAGGGAACCCACACGGACACCCCCCCCCGCAGCUUCAGCAAG
This is a long non-coding RNA of Hemicordylus capensis (graceful crag lizard), 389 nucleotides long. RefSeq lists it as uncharacterized. The record is from RefSeq and is a predicted model, not a curated record. Lineage: Eukaryota; Metazoa; Chordata; Lepidosauria; Squamata; Cordylidae. The transcript is spliced from 3 exons.